RNAcentral lists this long non-coding RNA (9192 nucleotides) under Marmota monax (woodchuck). Lineage: Eukaryota; Metazoa; Chordata; Mammalia; Rodentia; Sciuridae. The record is from RNAcentral.
GGCAGAUGGGCCUCUUGUAGGAGGCUGGGCAGGGAGCACUUGGAACCCUGACUCAGUGUCCCUCACUACCUCUGCUUCUGCCAUGUUCUGUGCAUUUGAGUGACCUUUGGGAUGACCCUGCAUUUUGCUUUCCUUCUGAAGUCACUCAUGCAGACCUGCUGCCUCUAGCUGUGGCCUCCCCUGCACCCAGCUCCCGGCUGCCUCAUCCCCCUCGUGUCCUGACCUCUUAGAGUUGUUCCCUGUCUCUGGUCCUCUGCCUCUUCUCCUGUCCCUGGGCUCCUCUCUAGUAUUUAAUUCCUUUUCCAUCCAGUUUGUUGGUCUUGCGCCCCACCCCCAGAUUCCUUCUCUGCCCUACAGCAGCUGAGGUGCUGAGAAAACAGGGCAUCUGAUCAUGAUGCUCCCCCACCCGAUAGCCACCGGUGUCUUCCCGCCACCUUCUGGUCCAAGCCCAGGUCCCUGACAGGGUUCAUGGGGGCCCGUGUCUGGCCCCUCCUGGUGCCCCUGGCUCCUGUCAUUCCACUUCCUUGCAUUCUGGUCGGGUCCAGGCGAACUGAACCAUCUCCAGCCCAGCCAGGGUGCUGACUCUUUGAAGUGCCCCUCCCACCCUUUCUCUUUCCAGCUAGCUUUGAGUGGUCUUUCAGAAAUCUUUCCCCCAUUGAGCCUCUCCCGAUCCUUGAUGCUCUGUGCUGCAUCCCUCUCUGCUCCUGCUGCCCCCAGAGCCGUCACUCCCUGUUUGGGGACCUCCCUGAGCUCCUGGAGAGCGUCUUGGCAGGCCUGGUACACAGAGCCGAGAGAUGGGACCAGUUCCUGGGAGAGACCUGAUCCGAGGAGCCCGUCUUCAGGUUGCUGGGAGACAGUACUAACUCCUGUGCAGCCAAGGGCAGCUUCAGGCACCCCACAGUUCCUCCCUGGAGCCCCCAGAGCCAUGUGGAGGAAGUGAUGGUGGUCAGGGUCACCCUGUCUUCACAGAUCAGCCAAGAGCCUUAGCUUAUGGUUAAUGGAGCCAGGACUUGAUCCCUCUUGAUCCCUCCUGUCCUUCCAGACCCCAGACUGGCUUCUCUGCCACCCACACACCUGCCCAGAUGCAGGGAUGCUCAGCUGGAGGCAGAGGGAGCAGAAGCCAGGUGAGCCCAGGAGGGGGCCUUACCCCAGGUACCCUGGACAGGUAGUCGGGAAGGUCCCUUCCCGCAGGGGUUCCUCCUCUGCACAGCCACCCCUCAUUUUCACAUUUGCCUGGGUGUGAAAACUCAGAUUUAGGCAUAAUGUCAAAUGGAGUUCCUUUUCCAUGAAAUCAUACCAUGGUCUUUCCAAACAGAAGCUUGGUCAACAGGAGGCCUGGGUCCAGGCCCCAGCCUCCACACCUGUCAGAUGGGGCUUACCCUUCUGCCCAGUCCUGAUGGCAGAGUUGAUGAGAGCCUCAAAAAUUUAGAAAUAGCUGAAAAAUAACAUUCUUGUCAAAAAUCAGUGGCUCUUCAGUGUCUCUUCUGUGGCUGGUCUCAAGCAAGUUUUUUUUUUUUUAAUAUUUAAUUGAUUUUAUUCUUUAAAUACAUGACAGUGGAAUGCAUUACAAUUCUUAUUACACAUAUAGAGCACAAUUUUUCAUAUCUCUGGUUGUAUAUAAAGUAUGUUCACACCAAUUUAUGUCUUCAUACAUGUACUUUGGAUAAUGAUAUCACAUUCCACCAUCAUUGCUAACCCCCUGUUCCCUCCCUUCCCCUCCCACCCCUCUGCCCUAUCUAGAGUUUGUCUAUUCCUCCCAUGCUCCCCCUCCCUACCCCAUUAUGGGUCAGUCACCUUGUAUCAGAGAAAAUAUUUGGCAUUUGUUUUUUUUGGAAUUGGCUAACUUCACUUAGCAUUAUCUUCUCCAACGCCAUCCAUUUACCUGCAAAUGCCAUGAUUUUAUUCUCUUUUAUUGCUGAGUAAUAUUCCAUUGUGUAUAUAUGUCACAUUUUUUUUUUAAUCCAUCCAUCUACUCAUGGGUAUCUAGGUUGGUUCCAGAGUUUAGCUAUUGUGGAUUAUGAAAAAAAUGUUCAUCAUCUCUAGCAAUUAGAGAAAUGCAAAUUAAAACUACUCUAAGAUACCAUCUCACUCCAGUCAGAAUGGCAGUUAUUAUGAAGACAAACAACAAUAAGUGUUGGUGAGGAUGCAGGGAAAAAGGCACACUCAUACAUUGCUGGUGGGACUGAAAUUUGGUGCAGCCAAUAUGGAAAGCAGUAUGGAGAUUCCUUGGAAAACUGGGAAUGGAACCACCAUUUGACCCAGCUAUCCCUCUCCUCGGUCUGUACCCAAAGGACUUAAAAACAUCAUACUACAGGGACACACUCAAGCAAGUUUUUAAAGUUUUAUUUGAAGUUCCUGUGUCAGGUGUGCACAGAUGCAGUGUGUAUGUGAGUGGUCAGAGGUGGGGGUGCAUUGGAGUGGUUAGCCCAGGCUAGGCUUGACGUCAGACCAGGAUUUGCCCAUGGGGGAACAGAACCACCUUCCCUGGUUUGUGCACAGUCCGUGGACCCUGAGGUUGGUCAUUGGCAAGGGCAUGAACUGGGGGUGCUCUGAAAAAGGAACCUCUGGUACAUCCAAGCCUGUGUGGCUGCGAGUCCCAGGAUGCCUGGGAGCAAGGCCCGCAGAGCAGGCCUGUGAGAGCCCUUCUCUUCAGGCCACCACAGGUUAUCAGGACAUGGUAAUCCAAACAAACGUGUUUUUAUUCCUUAGCUUAAAGAAAGUCCCAGCCUUGUCCUAGGGAAGGCCCACCCUUCUCUAGGAGGUAGAGGAGCAGACGGUUUGUUUGGGCUGGAUUAGGGCCAAGAACAAACUCUGCAGAUGGGGCAAUUUGGACCUUGGGAAAAGCUCCGUUGUCCCUGGUGAGUUAAUUUCACCAGCAGCUGAAUUCAGGAGGCUCCUAAGCAGCAAUCAGAAAAUGCGUCAAUUUCACAUCCUCUGUGAGAUUAAUUACCACGUGUGCAGCGCACCUGAGACAAACAGCUGCAGGGGCUAAAUAUAUCCAGGAGAGGAGAGGCCACGCCUCCGCUCAGCCUGCCUUGGGAGGGGUGCUUUGACCUCACUUCUGAAGCCCACCUGCCUGCUUCGCUGCCGUGAGGCACAGGUAAGCUCCUGGACCCCCAGGCAGUGGCAGCCUGGAUAGCAGGAGCCACCUCCUCCUGUCCUCCAUUUUUUUAGUCUGCACCCCCUACCCAUUUCACAGAAAAGGAAACUGAGUCACUCAGAAUCUGUUCUCUGAAUUUUCCUGCCCUGCUUACAGACAGAUGGUAUCCUCACGUGCCCUUUCCCACUCAGUGUCUCUGGAUGACCAGAGCAGGGACCCAGAGCCCCACAGUUGAAUUCCUCCACACAGUAGCCCGGGAACUGCUUGUAAAUGGCCUGUGGGUGGAGAAGGAGUGAUCUUGUUAAUACAAGUUCUCAGCAUCGCCUCGGCCCGGAAACCUGCCUGGGGGAUCCUGGCCCUGCCAAAUGGCCUCUGCGAUCUUGGCCAUAUUUUAUGUCUAACUCAAAAAUCCAAUUAUCAAGAUUACUCAUCCCGUCUCCUGAGGAGGCCAGGCUCUGCCUCAGGGCCAGGCUGUUUACCUUUGGCCGCAGUGGGGCCUUCCCAGCUAGCUUUGCUGCUUGCCAGGGGGCUGGCUGUGGGCAGAUCCGGAGACUCAGGGGUCUUGUCCUGGGCGUAAGGAGGUGCCUGAAAAGACUAAGCCUCAGUUUCCUCAUCUGCAAGGUCACGAGAUGGGGAAAGCUAAAGAGACAGAAUGACCCCAGGUGAGGCCCAAACGUCAGCCCAGGCCUGGGGGUUUGUUCCUGAGGGUCCUGCAUUCAGCCAGUACCUCCUCCUCCCUUACUCUCUGCAUCCUGUCUGACAUCAGUGUCACUUCACCUCCCAAAGCCAUUGCUUCAUCCAGGUGGCCAUCAGUUCCCACCUGGACCACUUACUGCAACAGUAAGACUUCCCCACUUGCACCCCUACCCUCUCCAGAUGUGCCCCAGGCCACAGCCAGAGCAGAUCUGCAGUGCAGAGCCCCCACUUACCUGGUGCCAAGUGUGGAACGCUUCCUCACCUGGAGUGGUGCAGGCCCUCAGGCCCGGCUGCUGCCCUCUGCUUUCCCCUCAGGCACAGGGCGGCUGCAUGCUGCCCCUGCCCGGCACCUCCCUGGCACCUCUCACCCUGGCUUCUCGAGCUGGUGGCUCCUAGUUAUGUUCCAGAGCCCAGUCCUUAGUCUCCCCAGUCAGAAGCGGCAGUGAUGCUGAUGUUCGGUGCCUGCUGAAUCUGCCUCACUGGCAUUUGGCUACCAUGUGACUUUGAAUCGUGCAUUUGAGGAGGAUUUGGGCCGGUUACGCCUCUUCCUGUCACUAGCCUGAAGUUCUGGAAGGCCCCAGACCUAGUGUGACUAGCUCCCCCCCCCCCCCCCAGACCUGGUGCCUGGCCCAGGGCCAGCAAAUAUGCUCACUCACCUGUGUUCUCAGCUGCUCCCACCCCCAGAAGAGCUGGAGCUGGUGGGCAAGAGACAAAUAAUGGUGCUAAGGGGGAUACUUGUCCUGGGGUCCCAUGAGCAGGUAGUAUUGGGAAUAUUACCACGUGCUCUUCCUGCCGGCUCUGUGGGGACGGUACUGCCUUUUUCAGAUGAAAGAGGCACAGAGCCACCUACCUGCCCAAUGUCACAGGGCCAGAGGCUGGGAGCUGCAUUCCAGCGGAGCCUGCGGGUGCCCCCUGUCCGCCUUGGGCUCGAGGGCUGAGCUGCACAGAUGUACCGAUCGCACUUGCAGAUCGUCAGCUUCGGCAUCUGCCCGCUCAGAGGCUCCUGCCAGGGACCCAAAGCCCAGCCCUGGCCCUGGCUUGGCCCAUUUCUGCCCCUCUAACUCACUAUCUUCAGCCUCUCUGUCCUUAGCUUCCCUGUCCAUUGGCAGUGUCCAUGUUGACCCAUCUCCUGACCCAGAGGCAGCCCUGGGCAUGGCAGGCCCCUCCCCUGGAUCACUGUUGCCGGCUGCAGUGGUCCCCAGCACCUUGGAUCACUGUUGCCGGCUGCAGUGGUCCCCAGCACCUUCCCUCAAGAUCUGUCACCAGCAUCCUGUUAGCUGGCGUUCACACUGGAGCUUAAUUACAUGUUUGCAGGCUUGAAAAGACACUAUUUGUAUUAAUGCCACUUUCUCCUCAACAGAACAAUGUGUGGUCCCAGUUCAGUUGGGGCAGUGGAUGACAGGGCUGGCAGGCACAGGGAAACAGAAGAACAAGGUCAUCCCAGACUCCUUGUCCUCAGCUGAAAUGACAUUGGGGUCAGAGACCAAAGACAUAAGUGACCAGGCCACAGAGCUCUCUGAGAGUGGGGCCAAUGGCUGGGAGCCCAGCUAGAACCCGUGUGUGAGAGAAGCCUGAGGGGGUGGGGGGGGUACUCAGCAUAGGAAGGAAUUUGAAGACCUCGGUGUCAAGUUCAUUUCCAGCACCUACCUUCUCCCAAGUGCCAGGUCCAGUGUGUGCCCUGAGGCUCCUCGUUGGGUGUCGGGGAGCCAGACGGGGAGGCAGGCCCUCAGUUAACUGGCUCUAUCAUGAUAAAUGAUCACCAGGGCCCUCAGGCACCCAGAAAAGGGACUCCUAACUGGCCUUGGAGGUGACAGGGAAGGUGCCCUAUGGUGACCCUAGGUGAGUGGAAAAGGCCACCUGGGGAGAGCAGGUGAAGAGGAGGGGGUGCUAGGUCGAGGAAAGAGCUGAGAAAGGCCCGCGCUCACUGCCGUGGAUCUGGCUGGGGUUUAGAAUCCACUCGGUCAUCCUGGCAGGACCUCAGGUGCCACCGUGGGGCAAGAGGACUUCAUCCAGGAGCAGCAGGGAAGAGACUAGAAAUGUGGUGUUUGAGCAAGGGGGCUGGGUGGGUGCUGUGAGGGUCAGGCCCACCCGUCCUCACCUGGGCAGGACUGGAAAUGAGGCUGCUCUGGGUUCAAGACACCUCGGAGGACAUGGGCCUGUUUACCCCCUGGGAUGGGGCCGAGGAUCAGGAUGGGGUCGGCUGCUGGCUUGUGGCUCAGUAGUGGUGUAACUGCGUUCACGGGGAGAGAGCAGUAGAGAUGGUGACCAAGCCAAGAUCAUCUUCGUGGUGGGCAGAACAGAAGGCGGCGGGUGGCAGGGGGGCUCGAGGGGGGGGGGCGGUGUUUGCACCGGCUGCCGGGGGGCUACGCUGGUGUGCUGCGGCUCUGCUGAGGUGCGCCGGGUUCACCUGGGGUUGGGGCUAAGAGUCAGCAUUCAUUCGUCUUUUGGGUGGUCGUGGGAAGCCAGCGGCACUUGUGUCUGGGAGGUGGAGCAAGGCCAGGGAGGAGGCAGAACAGAACAGGCUGGCUGGGUGAAGGACUCAUGGUCCCCAGGGCGGCUGACUGGUGGCCAUGGGCCUACUGGUGUCUCAGUGGCUGCAGGGAGGCUGCCAGCCAGAGGAACAGCCUCCACUCCCACAGCAAUGGGAACAGCAGCCUGGACGUGGCCUUCAGGGGACUUGCCUUGCUCAGGACUCCUGCUAAGAUACGGCCUCUGCGCCCUGCCCUCGAGUGACGUCCGGAGACACAGGGUAUCUGAGCAGCUCCAGGACGGCUGCUGCUCUGCCCUCUGGGAGUGCUCCGAGUGCCCCCAGACCCCACUUCCUCACCGUUAAGACAGGAUCAGGGCUGGGUAGCCGCACUGCCUUUCUCCUACCCAGACCUCCUUCCCUUCAUGUCCCCUCUACUCCAGGAAGCCUCCCUCCUCCCCAGGGAGCCCGUGCUCGCCGCUCCCUGCCUCUCACCAGCCCUGGGAGUCCUUUCCUUCCUUGCCUUCUCUCCCCUCUGUCCUCUCUCCCCCACUCCUAUUGCUCACAGCUUCUUGCCUGCAUCCAGGUAUGGGGGCCCUCUGGUUUCCCUGCCCUGUCCCCACCUGGUCUCUGCACAGCCAGGAUAUGCUCCAGCACCCCAAACCCGACCCUGUCACUCCCCUGUGUGUGAAUCCUCCCAGACCAGUCCCGUUCCUCCCACAUCCUGGCCUGUGGUGUCUGCUGGCCUUCCCUGCCCAUCCAUCUGGGCUUGUUUUUGUUGGUGUCCCCCUGCCUCGUCCAUGUGGUGCUGGACCUUGUCAUUCUCAUAGGCCCCCAAAGUCACCUUCUGCAUCUCUGGGCUUCGCACAUGUGUCUCCUGGUCUGAAAUGCUCACCUCGCACAUCCUCAUCCUGAUACCCACUGGUCCUAAAGACUCACCCUGGCAUCGUCUCUGAGCCUGCAUUCUCCAAACCUCAGUUUAUCCCCAUAUAAGAUGGCAGGCAUGGUGGCGCACGCCUGCAGUCCCAGCGGCCAGGAGGCUGAGACAGGACCAUCAAGAGUUCAAAGCCAGCCUCAGCAAAAGCAAGGCCCUAAGCAACUCCAUGAGACCCUGACUCUAAAUAAAAUACAAAAUAGGCCUGGGGAUGCGGCUCUGUGGGUGGUCCUUGGGUUCAUUUUGCGUGCUUCCCGCCCUCUGCCUGCUCAAAAAAAUGGGGCAUGAUCCCACUUUCCCCUUGUUACUGGAGAUUGACUUGGGGUUUCAGUCAACUGCAGGCAGCUAAGUUAGCUGAGACUAAAAGGUUUUAGACUAAAAGGUUUUAAUCUAUUCAUUAGUAGAUGUAUAGUCAGCUUUUUAUCACUCACCAAAUACCUGACAAGAAAACUCAGAGAAGGAAAAGUUUAUUUUGACUGGUGGUUUUGGAGCUGUAUCCCAAAGUCAGCCUAGCCCAUUGCUCUGGGUCCAGGUGAGGCAGAACAUCAUGGCGGAAGGGUGUGGUGGAAGAGCGCUGCUCCACUCACGGUGGCCAGGAAGCAGAGAGGGUAGGGGGCUGCAGAGAACAUGCCCCCUUCCAGGGCAUCCCCCAGUGAUCCACCUCCUCCAGCCACGCCCCACCUGCCUGCAGUCACCACCCGGUGGAUCCAUUCAGACUAGGAUGGGAGAGUUGGGUUACAGCUCUCAAGUUAUUUCUCCUCGGAACGUUCCUGCAUUAACACAGGAACUCUGGGGCAACCCCUCAGCCAAACCACAAUAAGUCCAAAUAAGAGAAGUGGAUCGUCUAUUCUAUCCAUGACCUGUCAGACUACUCUGGGAGCCUUGUGACCAUUUCUGGUGACUUGGCUUUAGGCUGAUGUCAACAAAGUAGAUUAUGUCAUUAAACGUAUUUUCCAUUCAUUAAACAUAUGCCAGAAAUUAUACAUAUAUUGUCACAUUUAAUUCUGUAAAAGUGUUAUGACCUCUGUAAAAUGAUGUGGCAGGCAGAACCAUGGACCCAAGAUGUCCGUGCUUGGAUCCCCAGGACCUGUGAUUAUGGCACUUCACUUGGCAAAAUGGAAUUGACACAGGUGAUGACAGUUACAAAUGGGAGAUAUUCCUCAACCCCGGUGGGAACAUUCAAAUCACAGAGUUCCUUAAAAAAGGAGACCUUUCGCAGUUGUGGUCAGAGAAUGGUGAGCUUUCAGGUUGGAUCAGGGAGCCAGGAGCUGGGGACACAGGUGACCUUGGGAAGCUGGGAAAGACUGAAAAACAGAUGAUCCCCUGGAGACCCCAGAAAAGAGCACAGUCCUGCUGACGCCUUGAUUUUCACCCAGGAGACCCAGGUCAGACUUGUGCUGUAGAGCUCUGGAAGUAAACUUGUGUCAUCUUAAGCCACUAAGCUGUGGUGACUUGUUAUGACAGCAGUGUGCCUUAAAUAGUCACUAUGAGCAUGAAUUUUAUGAUCCCAUGAAUUUAUAAAUGGUGUGUCCUGUGCUUGUAAAAGUAUAACUUCUUAAUGACAGGGGACCAUUGAAUAGACAGCAUGGGGGACAGUGAACUUCCUGUCCCUGGAGGCAUGGUUGACCUCACCAAGGUCACCUAGAUGGGCAGGUGCUUGGACAAGGGACCUCAAGAGCCUCCAGAGAUUAUAACCAGAAGCCAUGUGCCCAGGGCUGGAGGAGCCUGUGGUUCUCCCUGCCACGCGGGAGGCCUCUGUCACCACCCGCAGCGUCCGCCCCUCGGGAGCGUUAUUAUAUAUGGUAACAGGACUCCAUUACUUCAGAAUGCUUUGGUGUAAUGCAUUGAAGGAAUUAUUGAAAUGUGUAAUUACAGUGUGCAUUGUAAUAUAAAACAAGUCCAUUAUAUUCAUUUGAUGGAACUGUGCUCCAUAAUGUCUGUUCUAAUAUAAAAGAUUCCGCCAUUAGAGUGUUAUAUUGUGUGAUGAUAAUUGUC